RNAcentral lists this ribosomal RNA (253 nucleotides) under uncultured bacterium. RNAcentral's name for it is "partial 16S ribosomal RNA". It matches the Rfam family "Bacterial small subunit ribosomal RNA", at positions 524 to 776 of the family's 1533-position model. The record is from RNAcentral.
UACGUAGGGUGCAAGCGUUGUCCGGAAUUAUUGGGCGUAAAGGGCGCGUAGGCGGCACAGCAAGUCGGGAGUGAAAGCCCGGGGCUCAACCCCGGAAUGGCUUUCGAAACUGCUGAGCUAGAGUACAGAAGGGGCAACCGGAAUUCCCAGUGUAGCGGUGAAAUGCGUAGAUAUUGGGAAGAACACCUGAGGCGAAGGCGGGUUGCUGGGCUGAUACUGACGCUGAGGCGCGAAAGCCAGGGGAGCAAACGGG